This 342-nucleotide ribosomal RNA is filed under the name uncultured eukaryote. Its description in RNAcentral is "partial 18S ribosomal RNA". It matches the Rfam family "Eukaryotic small subunit ribosomal RNA", at positions 1470 to 1796 of the family's 1831-position model. The record is from RNAcentral.
CCCUUAGAUGUUCUGGGCCGCACGCGCGCUACACUGACUACAACAACAAGUUUAAAUUUGUUAUCAAAAGAUCCUUGAUUGAAAAAUCUGGGAAAUCUUAAAAAAGUAGUCGUGAUGGGGAUAGAUUAUUGUAAUUUUUAAUCUUCAACGAGGAAUUCCUAGUAAACGCAAGUCAUCAACUUGCAUUGAUUACGUCCCUGCCCUUUGUACACACCGCCCGUCGCAUCUACCGAUUGAAUGAAGAGGUAAAAUUUAUGGAUUUUAACAAUUAUUGGUAAAACGAUUUUAUGUUGAGAGAAGUGGAUUAAACCUUUUUAUUUAGAGGAAGAUGAAGUCGUAACA